Long non-coding RNA from Malus domestica (apple), 699 nucleotides. RefSeq lists it as uncharacterized. Lineage: Eukaryota; Viridiplantae; Streptophyta; Magnoliopsida; Rosales; Rosaceae. The record is from RefSeq and is a predicted model, not a curated record.
GAACGACCCAUCCCCCAAUUAACCCUACCCAUUUGCCAUUGCAAUCUCUCUCUCAUUGAAACUGGGCCGCGGACCUCAUCACAGUCAUUGAAGCCGGCACGACUUCUGCGACGAUGACCUCCAUCACCUCCGUGGAGUUGAAUUUCGUAGUCUUUCGUUACCUUCAGUAAUCAGGCGGAUUAUGUUCAAGAAUACAGCAGCUAUGUGGGAUUUAUGAGGGAUGGAGCACAGUGGUUUGUGGAGAACACAGACAUUAAACUUGUUGGAAUUGAUUAUUUAUCCGCUGCUGCAUAUGAUGAUUUGAUUCCAUCCCACCUUGUUUUUCUAGAAGGCAGGGAAAUGAUGACCCCCUCCAAGGAGAAAUAGCAUGGAAUAGGACGCCACGAGAGCUUGGUAUUUCAGCUUAUGCUCUUCAACAACUUGGUGGUUCACAUGGUUUGCACUGCUACAUCAAAACAAAUUAGAGAAUUAAUGAAGGUUGAUGGGCUUACUAAUGAUGAAGUCAAAAGCCAUUUGCAGCCAGUUGGAAUAUAAGUGUUGGUCGUUUUAGUUCAUGCCGUCGAGGAGAGCAAGUUCUGCACAUGUACAAUAUGAAGAUGAAGUUGAUGAUGAGGAUACUAUUACUCUGCUUCCUCAGCUGCUUCUGGUUUCAGCUGUCCUUUGCUAAAAAAGCUACCACUGAUCCAUCUGAAGGUUCUU